UAACGCGUGAGGAACCUGCCUCAAAGAGGGGGACAACAGUUGGAAACGACUGCUAAUACCGCAUAAGCCCACGGCUCGGCAUCGAGCAGAGGGAAAAGGAGCAAUCCGCUUUGAGAUGGCCUCGCGUCCGAUUAGCUAGUUGGUGAGGUAAUGGCCCACCAAGGCGACGAUCGGUAGCCGGACUGAGAGGUUGAACGGCCACAUUGAGACUGAGACACGGCCCAG
This 225-nucleotide ribosomal RNA is filed under the name uncultured bacterium. RNAcentral's name for it is "partial 16S ribosomal RNA". It matches the Rfam family "Bacterial small subunit ribosomal RNA", at positions 111 to 334 of the family's 1533-position model. The record is from RNAcentral.